AGUGUGUAGAAAGCAAAAGGCUGUGGGCUGGCCACGCUCGCGAGCCCAGGGCAUGCGCGCUGGGGCGGCCGGGCCUGCGCACUGGGGGCGGAGGGGAGCGGGGAGGGGGCAUCCCGCGUGGGGUUGGCAGUGGCCGGACAGAGUUGGCGCGCGAGGGUGUGGAAGCCGCGAAAUAAUCCCGCCGGUCGAACCUGGGACGUGUGUGUCUCUGAUGAAUGAUAUAUUGAUCAACCUGUAUUCUUCAGACUCUGCCAUAUGAAGCCAAUGAAAGAUACAUGCUGGUGACCAAAUGAUGAUCAUGUGAAAAGAUAGCUUGGUAAACUUAAUAAACUUUAGAUUUUUCAUAAAUCCAACCAGU
RNAcentral lists this long non-coding RNA (358 nucleotides) under Dasypus novemcinctus (nine-banded armadillo). RNAcentral's name for it is "lncRNA (ENSDNOG00000051108.1)". Lineage: Eukaryota; Metazoa; Chordata; Mammalia; Cingulata; Dasypodidae. The record is from RNAcentral.